UCCCCAGUAGCUCAAUUGGCAGAGCAAGCGGCUGUUAACCGCUAGGUUCCUGGUUCAAGUCCAGGCUGGGGAGCCA
Molecule: transfer RNA, 76 nt
Filed under: Planctomycetota bacterium
Lineage: Bacteria; Pseudomonadati; Planctomycetota
Also listed under: 1 other name
Description: Planctomycetes bacterium tRNA-Asn
Rfam family: tRNA
About the family: Transfer RNA (tRNA) molecules are approximately 80 nucleotides in length. Their secondary structure includes four short double-helical elements and three loops (D, anti-codon, and T loops). Further hydrogen bonds mediate the characteristic L-shaped molecular structure. tRNAs have two regions of fundamental functional importance: the anti-codon, which is responsible for specific mRNA codon recognition, and the 3' end, to which the tRNAs corresponding amino acid is attached (by aminoacyl-tRNA synthetases). tRNAs cope with the degeneracy of the genetic code in two manners: having more than one tRNA (with a specific anti-codon) for a particular amino acid; and 'wobble' base-pairing, i.e. permitting non-standard base-pairing at the 3rd anti-codon position.
Source: RNAcentral